GCUUCUGUGUUCGCGUCAAAAGUUCUUCAUAUGGGUCUUCAAUAAUUUAGAUAUUUUCUCCUCAACUUGAAACUUUGACAUUCAUCAUACACAUUUGUGUGCAUGUGGUUACAUGUGCGUAGAUGUGUUAUCUAUCUUGUUUUGUUAAUGCUGAGGAAACUUUCAAUUGUUCUGUCAAUGUUGAAGUAUUUUUAAAAUUCUUUAGAUGGUGAAUUUUCAUAUAGCGGUUGUCCCAUCUUGGGAUAGUUUAUUGGUAUGUGUGCAAUACAUACAACUUAUGUGGCUUCAUUAUAUUCAACAAUGUUAG
Molecule: unclassified non-coding RNA, 307 nt
Filed under: Hevea brasiliensis (rubber tree)
Lineage: Eukaryota; Viridiplantae; Streptophyta; Magnoliopsida; Malpighiales; Euphorbiaceae
Source: RNAcentral